GAACCUGCGGAGGGAUCAUUACCGAGUUUACAACUCCCAAACCCAAUGUGAACGUUACCAAACUGUUGCCUCGGCGGGAUCUCUGCCCCGGGUGCGUCGCAGCCCCGGACCAAGGCGCCCGCCGGAGGACCAACCAAAACUCUUUUUGUAUACCCCCUCGCGGGUUUUUUUAUAAUCUGAGCCUUCUCGGCGCCUCUCGUAGGCGUUUCGAAAAUGAAUCAAAACUUUCAACAACGGAUCUCUUGGUUCUGGCAUCGAUGAAGAACGCAGCGAAAUGCGAUAAGUAAUGUGAAUUGCAGAAUUCAGUGAAUCAUCGAAUCUUUGAACGCACAUUGCGCCCGCCAGUAUUCUGGCGGGCAUGCCUGUCCGAGCGUCAUUUCAACCCUCGAACCCCUCCGGGGGGUCGGCGUUGGGGAUCGGCCCUGCCUCUUUUUGGCGGUGGCCGUCUCCGAAAUACAGUGGCGGUCUCGCCGCAGCCUCUCCUGCGCAGUAGUUUGCACACUCGCAUCGGGAGCGCGGCGCGUCCACAGCCGUUAAACACCCAACUUCUGAAAUGUUGACCUCGGAUCAGGUAGGAAUACCCGCUGAACUUAAGCAUAUCAAUAAG
This 607-nucleotide ribosomal RNA is filed under the name uncultured fungus. Its description in RNAcentral is "eukaryotic LSU rRNA". The stretch from base 223 to 376 matches the Rfam family "5.8S ribosomal RNA". The record is from RNAcentral. Lineage: Eukaryota; Fungi.